This 3216-nucleotide unclassified non-coding RNA is filed under the name Daphnia magna. RNAcentral's name for it is "uncharacterized LOC116920258, transcript variant X1". Lineage: Eukaryota; Metazoa; Arthropoda; Branchiopoda; Diplostraca; Daphniidae. The record is from RNAcentral.
UUUAGAAGCGCACAAUAGGAAAACGAACAUGGAAUACAAGUAACGAGCCAUUGCGUAGCCUAGGACGUAUACUGAUUUCUUUUCGACGGCUGCAUCACCGAUUUAUGUCACAACCCGAACGUGUCAAAUAUUUGCUGAUAACUUGACGGGUUCAAAAGUCAUCGACACUUGGAUGCUAGUCAACACACUUGUGUAAAUAUUUCAGUACAGGACUAAUCAUGUACGUCGGAGUGGAUUGAGAUUCGUCUAAUUGUAAGAAAGAAACGAGUUCAGGCUGUCAUCAACUCUAACAACAUCCUGGUCCACAUCUCAAAUUUGAUGUUGACGGAUUCGUUGAGUGUUAUUGACAGUUCAAUGCGUGUUCUGCAGCCCUUUGUAAAAGAAUAGAAAAUUGAAAUGGAAACACGGGGACGACAAUGAUCCACCUCAAGUUUCCAGCAAUCGUCCGAACAACUUUGACUUGAUUCCUACGCUUCCGUUGGGCUACAAACGAACACUUAUUUCUGCUAGAGACUUGCAGGCCAGCAAUCUCAAAUCCUCAAGAAGGGCCCCGCAUUAAGGUAAACAUAGGUUGGAAUAAAUGUUUGUUACAUCCCAACUGGAAAAGAAUAUGUCAACGAAAAUGAAACAACGGAUCGCAAAAAAAAUACCCGAUAAACGAAAAAUAUCAACGCAUUUUCCGACACAGGACGAACGAGAAACUAAAGUGCCAGGGGGAAUCUGCUGGCAUCGCCUGCAUUGAUUUAGAGAAACGAAGAGGAAAAGAUACGGAAAAGACGACAAAGAAGCUGACACGGAAACAGAAAUACUUUUUGAUUCACAAAAGAAGAAAAAGGAAAAUGUACGAGCAACGUAAAAGAAGAGAACCAGAGACGUGAUUAAUUCGAGGAAAGUAGAAAAAUGCUGAUAGCGAGGUUUAAUUGAUUUCUGAAGCAGCUCGACAACGUCCUUGAGACUUGUUUUCACUAUUUGAAACAAAAACAAAAAAAACGCUGCAACUAAGAAGAAUCGGCUCUGGUAUUUCCCAUGAAAAUGGACAUAGGACAGACCAACGCGUUAGCACAACAUCAUUUCUAGAUUUCCUCGUAUUUCAUUUUAAGCCGCUGUGCGAAGACGAAAGGAUGGGACGUGAUCUUUCCGGGACGAUUCGAUCAUUUCUUAUUAUUUUGGCGCUAUCUACUUGCUGUUUCACGACCGCUCCACCUGAUUUGCAAGCUAGAGUUGAGCAACUUGAGAAAUACUAUGUCGAAAUUAAAGAACAUUUUGAAGCCAAAAUUAUUGAUUUGGAGACGAAAGUCGUUCGCCUGGAAGCCAAAGUUGAAAAACAGGAUUCACUUUUGGCUGAUUUGAAAAAAGGACACAAACCCUUGAAAGAGAAUGUCGACAUCAACCAACAUUGUCGUCAAAACGCUACCCUUCGUACUUGCCACGAAAUCCACGUUGCUAAUCCGUCGUACCCAUCUGGUAUGUACUGGAUCGAUCCUGACGGCCAAGGCAUUGGUGAUCCACCAAUCCACGUCUAUUGCGAAAUGGAGGCAGAACAAAGUGAUGUCAAAGGUACAACAUCCAUCCUGCACGAUAGCGAGUCGCAAAUGGACAUUGGAAAUUGCACCGAACCUGGAUGUUACUCGAGGCCGAUCAAAUAUUACGCAAGCGAUAGACAAAUCGAAGCGUUGAUUCAAUUGUCCACUUACUGCCAUCAAAAUAUUAUGUACCAUUGCAGAAAAACACCGUUAAACUUCAACGGGAUCGCCUAUGCUUGGUGGAACGACAAAGAUGGCGAAAGGCACAAGUUUUCUAAUCGGUCGACGACGUGCGACCAACUAGCUUACACAGAAGGUUACGAUUUACAAUACGUCGUGGACAACGUUUCUCUGCCUAUUACGCGCAUCCAUUUUAGCAAUCCGUUUAAAGGAUUCGGCCAACACCAAGUGAGUCGGUUGCGAUGUCGCGGAAAGGCAAAGACGGAGGCGAUGCCGAGAUCGUGUGAAGAUUUGUGGCGGAUGGGCCAUAACCUCAACGGAAUCUACUCCGUCAAAGGAGCUAAACAAAUGGAAACUGUUUUCUGCCAAUUUGAUAAACGACCUAAUGAACAAGAUUUCCAGAAGAGGAUUGGCUAUCAAGACAUAAAGACACGACCAGUAUACUUCUCCGGAGAGGGAAGGCGAUUAUUUAUGGAAAAGUUGAUUCCAAUUCCGUUUGAUCAUGACGUAGUCAACAUUGGAGGGGCCAUGGAUUCGCAUAGCGGCGUAUUCACAGCACCCUCUACGGGGACUUACUUCUUUUCUUUUACUGGACUCACGGGUUUUAAAGGAGGGGUGGUAAUAACCGAAUUCACGUUUCUUUCUAGUAGAGGAGUAGAGGAGAAAAUAAUGAAACAUUCUACUAUAAGCUUUUCAAAACUUACAACUUUUAAUCCAAUUACCGUUCAAAGUACUCUACGUUUGCAAGCCGGAGAUAAAGUAUGGAUCAAUCUCGAUUUUCGUAAUGAUGCCACAUUUCGUUUCGUAGACAACACGAUUUUUAGCGGAUGGCUUUUAGAAGAAGAAAUCUAAGCAUCGCCAACGUUUUACACAAGCCAGUUUGGCAGCAAAUACUACGACCAUGAAAACAAAAGGGCACCAACAAGCACAGAACGUCCUUCAUUCCGACCCCAUCAACUUAUAAAUAUGCUUCUAAAUAUGUUUUCAAUCUCACUGUUCAUUUCGAAAUUAAACAUGUUAGCGAAACCGGUUUCAGUAGCUAGUACGACAGUAGCAGGUACGAAGUCUUGAAAGCCGUAAGGCUUCGCAAAAACUACGUAUUUAACAGAGGACCUUCUUAUUUUCGUUCAUCAGUACACAGAGAUUGAACGAAAAGGAUGAAUGUUUUUUUUUGCUAGCCAAAGACUUGCCAUUUUAUUGACAUCCCACAAUCGCCACUUCAGCCGAACAUACGGCGUCCUAAAAAAAUGCGAUUCGUUGCUAUUCAAUAGCUAUUCUAUUCAGCCGUCGGUGGUGGUGGAUCCUAGGGUGGAUUCGGCGGAGGAUAUGGUGACGGACACGGUGGCUGCCCCGCUUGUUAAACUUUAACUGAAAGAAUUAUCCUUGAAUGAUUCAUCUUUGACCAACCAUGAAUGACGAAAAAUGUUGCAGAUUUUUAACGAAGAUUGUAGAUCAAUCCUAUAUUAUAUACUGUUGUAAUUGUGACCUAUCAAAUACAGUAUCAUUACUUUAA